UAAGCAGGCUUAUCUUAUCGUCAUGUUUUAAAUGUGAAGGAAAGUCCGAACACCAAAGAGUAUCAUAGCGGAUAACAUCCGUCCAACGUAAGUUGAGGACCAGUGCAACAGAAAGCAAGUACAGUUAGGCUGUAGUGAAACCAGGUAAACUCUAUGAGGUGCAAUGCCAUGUAAAUUAGAGAUCCAAAUUUUUGGGAGAGAGUUACUCGCUCGAUUCUAAAGGGUAGGCAGAUUGAUUCUAAGAGUAAUUUUAGAACUAGAUAAAUGAUAAGAACCUUCUAAAGGAAACAGAAUUCGGCUUAUUAGCCUGCUUUUUUA
This 318-nucleotide RNase P RNA is filed under the name Polaribacter aestuariivivens. RNAcentral's name for it is "Polaribacter sp. DBTF-3 RNase P RNA component class A". It matches the Rfam family "Bacterial RNase P class A". From Rfam's summary of the family: Ribonuclease P (RNase P) is a ubiquitous endoribonuclease, found in archaea, bacteria and eukarya as well as chloroplasts and mitochondria. Lineage: Bacteria; Pseudomonadati; Bacteroidota; Flavobacteriia; Flavobacteriales; Flavobacteriaceae. The record is from RNAcentral.